ACUCAAAGGAAUUGACGGGGACCCGCACAAGCAGUGGAGCGUGUGGUUUAAUUCGACACAAAACGAAAAACCUCACCAGGGUUUGACAUGUAUCUGCUAAUCCUAAGAAACUAGGACUCCUUCGAGGGUGAUACACAGAUGCUGCAUGGCUGUCGUAAGUUCGUGGCGUGAGCUGUCCCCUUAAGUGGGCAAACGAACGAAACCCUCACCUUAUGUUAAAUAAUCCAUGAGGAACUGCUUCAAUUUAUUGAAGAGGAAGGCGAGGAUGACGUCAAGUCAGCACGGUUCUUACACCCUGGGCUACACACACACUACAAUGGCGAAUAACAACGAGCUGCAAACUGGUAACAGUAAGCUAAUCUCUAAAAUUUCGCCUCAGUUCAGAUCGAGGGCUGCAAUUCGCCCUCGUGAAGCCGGAAUUGCUAGUAAUCGCGGAUCAGCACGCCGCGGUGAAUACGUUCUCGGGUCUUGUACACACCGCCCGU
Molecule: ribosomal RNA, 485 nt
Filed under: uncultured bacterium
Lineage: Bacteria
Description: partial 16S ribosomal RNA
Rfam family: Bacterial small subunit ribosomal RNA
Source: RNAcentral